GCAUAUGUUGUUGCAAAAACUAAACGCCCAUUCAUCAAGCGAGUCGAGAUGAGAGGAAUCAUUGUAUAAAAGGCUAGCAUGUAAAAGCUGGAAGAAGGAAAGAACACGGGAUAUGUAAUGGAACAUGGGAAAUUGAUAUGGACAUUGAUAUGGACAUUGAUAUGAACAUGAAUAUGAACAUGAAUAUGAACAUGAAUAUGGUAUAGAGAACUACAUCGACACAGAAAAGAAAACAAAAGUUGCUAAAAUGACAAAGGUGCCGAAUCAACAGGC
Molecule: long non-coding RNA, 273 nt
Filed under: Schizosaccharomyces pombe (fission yeast)
Lineage: Eukaryota; Fungi; Ascomycota; Schizosaccharomycetes; Schizosaccharomycetales; Schizosaccharomycetaceae
Description: centromeric lncRNA
Source: RNAcentral